This 427-nucleotide ribosomal RNA is filed under the name uncultured Methylibium sp. RNAcentral's name for it is "bacterial SSU rRNA". It matches the Rfam family "Bacterial small subunit ribosomal RNA", at positions 355 to 774 of the family's 1533-position model. Lineage: Bacteria; Pseudomonadati; Pseudomonadota; Betaproteobacteria; Burkholderiales; Sphaerotilaceae. The record is from RNAcentral.
UGGGGAAUUUUGGACAAUGGGCGCAAGCCUGAUCCAGCCAUGCCGCGUGCGGGAAGAAGGCCUUCGGGUUGUAAACCGCUUUUGUCAGGGAAGAAACGCUUCAAGCGAAUACCUUGAAGUAAUGACGGUACCUGAAGAAUAAGCACCGGCUAACUACGUGCCAGCAGCCGCGGUAAUACGUAGGGUGCAAGCGUUAAUCGGAAUUACUGGGCGUAAAGCGUGCGCAGGCGGCUUUGCAAGACAGAUGUGAAAUCCCCGGGCUUAACCUGGGAACUGCAUUUGUGACUGCAUGGCUGGAGUGCGGCAGAGGGGGAUGGAAUUCCGCGUGUAGCAGUGAAAUGCGUAGAUAUGCGGAGGAACACCGAUGGCGAAGGCAAUCCCCUGGGCCUGCACUGACGCUCAUGCACGAAAGCGUGGGGAGCAAACA